Acanthochromis polyacanthus (spiny chromis) is the source of this 319-nucleotide long non-coding RNA. RefSeq lists it as uncharacterized. The transcript has 3 exons. The record is from RefSeq and is a predicted model, not a curated record. Lineage: Eukaryota; Metazoa; Chordata; Actinopteri; Pomacentridae.
CCACCCACUAUAAAAGCUGAGAGGGGCCCCUGUACUCUUUCUCUUCUGCUGAGGCUGAAGACACGCCCCUUCCGGCUGCUCGCCCUGCUGCUCUCACCGGCGUUCAAAACAUUCGGCAUGUUACUCUGCUUGGUGUUGUGUAGCCACAUUUGUGUUGCCAAAGGAAGCCAUAGCGGCUGGAUCGGCUUCUGACGUGCUCUCCAUGUCCUGUGUGUGUGUGCGCGUCACGCUGCUGUACAGAGAGGCUGUGUACCUGUGGUCGGGACGUGGUGUCGUCGGUGGUGGUCUCCUUCCCGUGUGAUGUGUGAACCCUGGUUUU